CGAUUAUCUCAUGGAAGACGUUUUAUUAGUGCCUUGCUGACAUGGCUUUGGAUUGCCACCUUUCUCCUUUAUAUGACCAGAUUUCCAUAUGAACAAAGCAACGGUCGGUAUCUUGCAUGUAACCUCCUUUACAUGCCCACUCUUGGGGGUGGAAUAAAAACAAGUGUCCAACUUGCGAGUACCGACCUUCGAGGCUGUCGGGUGCUUUUGAGGUGCGUACAAACCUUUUUGCUUUCUAGUUUUUAUUUAAUCCUUUUUCCUUGUUUUGAUCAAUUAGGUCCCUCGGGAACUUGGACGAGAUAUAUAAAAAAAAGGACAGGC
This 321-nucleotide long non-coding RNA is filed under the name Elaeis guineensis (African oil palm). RNAcentral's name for it is "long non-coding RNA (EGUI_LNC029110)". Lineage: Eukaryota; Viridiplantae; Streptophyta; Magnoliopsida; Arecales; Arecaceae. The record is from RNAcentral.